AGCGAACGCUGGCGGCAGGCCUAACACAUGCAAGUCGAACGAACUCUUCGGAGUUAGUGGCGGACGGGUGAGUAACACGUGGGAACGUGCCUUUAGGUUCGGAAUAACUCAGGGAAACUUGUGCUAAUACCGAAUGUGCCCUUCGGGGGAAAGAUUUAUCGCCUUUCGAGCGGCCCGCGUCUGAUUAGCUAGUUGGUGAGGUAAAGGCUCACCAAGGCGACGAUCAGUAGCUGGUCUGAGAGGAUGAUCAGCCACAUUGGGACUGAGACACGGCCCAAACUCCUACGGGAGGCAGCAGUGGGGAAUCUUGCGCAAUGGGCGAAAGCCUGACGCAGCCAUGCCGCGUGAAUGAUGAAGGUCGUAGGAUUGUAAAAUUCUUUCACCGGGGACGAUAAUGACGGUACCCGGAGAAGAAGCCCCGGCUAACUUCGUG
RNAcentral lists this ribosomal RNA (433 nucleotides) under uncultured bacterium. RNAcentral's name for it is "partial 16S ribosomal RNA". It matches the Rfam family "Bacterial small subunit ribosomal RNA", at positions 29 to 507 of the family's 1533-position model. The record is from RNAcentral.